UGAACGCUGGCGGCAUGCCUUACACAUGCAAGUCGAACGGCAGCACGGGUGCUUGCACCUGGUGGCGAGUGGCGAACGGGUGAGUAAUACAUCGGAACAUGUCCUGUAGUGGGGGAUAGCCCGGCGAAAGCCGGAUUAAUACCGCAUACGAUCUACGGAUGAAAGCGGGGGACCUUCGGGCCUCGCGCUAUAGGGUUGGCCGAUGGCUGAUUAGCUAGUUGGUGGGGUAAAGGCCUACCAAGGCGACGAUCAGUAGCUGGUCUGAGAGGACGACCAGCCACACUGGGACUGAGACACGGCCCAGACUCCUACGGGAGGCAGCAGUGGGGAAUUUUGGACAAUGGGCGAAAGCCUGAUCCAGCAAUGCCGCGUGUGUGAAGAAGGCCUUCGGGUUGUAAAGCACUUUUGUCCGGAAAGAAAUCCUUGGCUCUAAUACAGUCGGGGGAUGACGGUACCGGAAGAAUAAGCACCGGCUAACUACGUGCCAGCAGCCGCGGUAAUACGUAGGGUGCGAGCGUUAAUCGGAAUUACUGGGCGUAAAGCGUGCGCAGGCGGUUUGCUAAGACCGAUGUGAAAUCCCCGGGCUCAACCUGGGAACUGCAUUGGUGACUGGCAGGCUAGAGUAUGGCAGAGGGGGGUAGAAUUCCACGUGUAGCAGUGAAAUGCGUAGAGAUGUGGAGGAAUACCGAUGGCGAAGGCAGCCCCCUGGGCCAAUACUGACGCUCAUGCACGAAAGCGUGGGGAGCAAACAGGAUUAGAUACCCUGGUAGUCCACGCCCUAAACGAUGUCAACUAGUUGUUGGGGAUUCAUUUCCUUAGUAACGUAGCUAACGCGUGAAGUUGACCGCCUGGGGAGUACGGUCGCAAGAUUAAAACUCAAAGGAAUUGACGGGGACCCGCACAAGCGGUGGAUGAUGUGGAUUAAUUCGAUGCAACGCGAAAAACCUUACCUACCCUUGACAUGGUCGGAAUCCCGCUGAGAGGUGGGAGUGCUCGAAAGAGAACCGGCGCACAGGUGCUGCAUGGCUGUCGUCAGCUCGUGUCGUGAGAUGUUGGGUUAAGUCCCGCAACGAGCGCAACCCUUGUCCUUAGUUGCUACGCAAGAGCACUCUAAGGAGACUGCCGGUGACAAACCGGAGGAAGGUGGGGAUGACGUCAAGUCCUCAUGGCCCUUAUGGGUAGGGCUUCACACGUCAUACAAUGGUCGGAACAGAGGGUUGCCAACCCGCGAGGGGGAGCUAAUCCCAGAAAACCGAUCGUAGUCCGGAUUGCACUCUGCAACUCGAGUGCAUGAAGCUGGAAUCGCUAGUAAUCGCGGAUCAGCAUGCCGCGGUGAGUACGUUCCCGGGUCUUGUACACACCGCCCGUCACACCAUGGGAGUGGGUUUUACCAGAAGUGGCUAGUCUAACCGCAAGGAGGACGGUCACCACGGUAGGAUUCAUGACUGGGGU
RNAcentral lists this ribosomal RNA (1452 nucleotides) under uncultured organism. Its description in RNAcentral is "SSU rRNA". It matches the Rfam family "Bacterial small subunit ribosomal RNA". The record is from RNAcentral.